This 375-nucleotide unclassified non-coding RNA is filed under the name Hevea brasiliensis (rubber tree). Lineage: Eukaryota; Viridiplantae; Streptophyta; Magnoliopsida; Malpighiales; Euphorbiaceae. The record is from RNAcentral.
UUUUUUUUUUCUCUUGUUCCCCCUUUGAUGGAUGUCUGGAUAAUCUCUUUUAAAUGUAGUCCUCGUCCAACAUAAACAAAUGAAUAACUUACAAACUGGACCGGUGAUCUUCCACCUCCCCUUCCAAAGCAAGGACGCCUCUCCGAUUUGACGACAACAAAAAAAAAGAAAAAAAGAAAAAAAAAACCCAAUCGUAAAAAUGGUGAACAAAAAACGUCAGCUAUCAGCAGAAUUUGACAUGGAGGAUGGGUGGGACUGCUGAGUAUGAGCCUGAGAUUGAGUUUCAGUUUGUGCCUGAGCCUGCUUUUGCUGUUCAACAAAUCUGCUCAAACGCUCAAUCAACUGCUGAGCCUUCCUCUUUCCCCGGUCUGUGCC